UAAUGAUUAAACUGCUGUCUAAUGCUCCGCUGGACGGCCAAACCAAACAGGGGAAAUUUCCUCACUGAAGAUGGACUCGCACCGCCCUUGUACUGGAUGCAAUUUGGUGUUUUAAAAGCCAUUACCCGGCGGUCAUCUCUACGUGACGGACAGAGGUCUGGUAGGGCUUCUUGGGGGAUGAAAAGGCAAAUCAGGAAAGGAAGCUUUGCAAGUCAAGGAGUGGCAGAGAGGCGGCCCAGGUGCUUUGCAUUCCCUGGGUGAGUGCGCAGGUUCUGUCGGGGACCAUCUGGAGCCAAGCUUUGCAACUCAGCCAGCAGAGCCCCCCAUAGGCCCACACCAUCUCUCUUCCACCAAAUCUCUUUGCCGUUUACCGUGGACCACGGAGCCGCCCCACCCACACCGUCCCCGUUCUGGGAGUGAUCGAUGACUGCUGGACACACGCAGAGGGACAGCCGGAGAGACGUCUGCUCCUUCCACGGGCUCGGCAGAGGAGGCGAUGGUGAUUUUUCAUCUGCUCCCGAGCAGAACCAAGCCCAGACAGGCUCUGCGAGAUGACAAAUAAAGCGUUGUGUUUAUGACGCCAUGAAAAGCCUCCUUUUUCCUCCUAAAAAAAAAAAAAUAAACUUAUUUAUUUCCUUGUGGGUAUGGGUUUGCGGUAAGUGUGGAAGGAUUAAGCCUUUGAAGCUGUCGAUUUAUAUCCGUGAGUAAUGCGAAGCCUUUGUCUUGGAGAGGAGAGAGCCUUCCAAAUUGCAGAGGAGCGAGUCGGGGCCCCUUGGCUCCAUCCCUCCGGGGCUCAUUUGUUAAAUAUUUAACGAGCACCUCCUGCCUGCCAAGCCUGGUGUCGGAGGCUGCGAGCAGAGACUAUAGCAGAGGGCACGGUCCCUGCCCUGUCUACCCGGGUGAUCUACAGGAGUAUCGGCUUUCCCAAACCACAAAGGAGGACAGACAGAGUCCUGUGGCAGAUCACUGGAGACUGGGUUUCAGAUAUGCCAGUCCUCUGCGGGAUUACCUGCUUGCCAUCUUGAUGGCCAACUCACCAUAUUGUCACCUUGUACUUCAAGCCUUUUGGUUAGUAAAGAAUUCCUGUGAGAGCAGGGAGGAAGAGCAUGAGAAAAAGAUUAACAUUAAAC
Molecule: non-coding RNA, 1130 nt
Organism: Ictidomys tridecemlineatus (thirteen-lined ground squirrel)
Lineage: Eukaryota; Metazoa; Chordata; Mammalia; Rodentia; Sciuridae
Source: RefSeq, a predicted model, not a curated record